Molecule: long non-coding RNA, 399 nt
Organism: Clupea harengus (Atlantic herring)
Lineage: Eukaryota; Metazoa; Chordata; Actinopteri; Clupeiformes; Clupeidae
Source: Ensembl
GGGGGGUAUAUGUGUGUGCUAGUGCCUGUGUGUGUGUGUGUGUGAGAGAGAGGGGGGGGGGAGUAUAUCCAACAGAUAUUCCCACAUUUGGUGUGUUGAUGAGGGUGGUGUUGAGCGCUGUCUAACGCGUCACUCCAAAACCCCCCCCGAGGUGUUCAGGUGUGUUGAGCGCUGUCUAACGCGUCACUCCAAAACCCCCCCAGAGGUGUUCAGGUGUGUUGAGCGCUGUCUAACGCGUCACUCCAAAACCCCCCCGAGGUGUUCAGGUGUGUUGAGCGCUGUCUAACGCGUCGCUCCAAAACCUCCCCGAGGUGUUCAGGUGACAGCAAAGGCCAUAGCACAUGAUUCACAUCAUUGUCAUACUCAUCAAAUCAUUCGGUGACCCCUCGCGUCGGUGAC